CUACGGGGGGCUCCAGCGGGGAAUAUUGCACAAUGGAGGAAACUCUGAUGCAGCAACGCCGCGUGGAGGAUGACACUUUUCGGAGCGUAAACUCCUUUUAUAUAGGAAGAAGAUGACGGUACUAUAUGAAUAAGCGCCGGCUAACUCCGUGCCAGCAGCCGCGGUAGUACGGAGGGCGCAAGCGUUACUCGGAAUCACUGGGCGUAAAGAGCGUGUAGGCGGAUUAAAAAGUCAGAAGUGAAAUCCUAUAGCUUAACUAUAGAACUGCUUCUGAAACUCUUAAUCUAGAAUAUGGGAGAGGUAGAUGGAAUUUCUGGUGUAGGGGUAAAAUCCGUAGAGAUCAGGAGGAAUACCGAUUGCGAAGGCGAUCUACUAGAACAUUAUUGACGCUGAGACGCGAAAGCGUGGGGAGCAAACAGGAUUAGAUACCCCGGUAGUC
This 439-nucleotide ribosomal RNA is filed under the name uncultured bacterium. RNAcentral's name for it is "partial 16S ribosomal RNA". It matches the Rfam family "Bacterial small subunit ribosomal RNA", at positions 339 to 795 of the family's 1533-position model. The record is from RNAcentral.